RNAcentral lists this small RNA (92 nucleotides) under Vibrio cholerae O1 biovar El Tor str. N16961. Lineage: Bacteria; Pseudomonadati; Pseudomonadota; Gammaproteobacteria; Vibrionales; Vibrionaceae. The record is from RNAcentral.
UCAUUAUGAUGACCUUAUAUUUGUGGCGAGUUUAACGUGCUUAUCAAUAAGGGCGAUUGAUCUUGAUCACUUUAAGAAUAAAUAUGAAAGAA